This is a long non-coding RNA of Hypanus sabinus (Atlantic stingray), 2250 nucleotides long. RefSeq lists it as uncharacterized. The record is from RefSeq and is a predicted model, not a curated record. NCBI's taxonomy places the organism in Eukaryota, Metazoa, Chordata, Chondrichthyes, Myliobatiformes, Dasyatidae. The transcript is spliced from 3 exons.
UUCAAUUGCUAUUUAAUUUACAAAUGUGCUCAAAGUGUUAGUAAAACUAGCAAACAUCGUAAGUAUCAAUUAUUACAAAUUAAAUGGUCUAAAGCUGUUGGAGCUUGGUACAUCUGUACACCUUGAGUCCACCACUUAGAAAUACAAUUUAUUAUAAAUCACACAUUUGUAUAAACUUAUAGUCUGUCAAACCUUUGUGUUUCCUGCUUUUUGACACAGUUUCAUAACUUUUACCAUUGUAAAUUCAAGUGAUGACAUCUUUUCUAGAAAUUGUUGAACAUCAUUUCAUGUUUUUAUCUUCCCAGCAUUGUUUUAAUGGCAUGGUAUCUGCCAACUCAUCAUCCUGCACUUCAGAGCAAGAACUUUUCUGAUCAUUUCCUCCUCAACUUUCCACCUGUUUAAUAUUAAAUGCAAAUUUAAUUAUUCUUCAACAGCAUUGUGUAUGGGAAAUCAGAUAGAUUUUAAGAGAGAGGAGCAAGGGGACAGAAGGUUGAAGAGCACAAGAGAACAACGAGGAGGAGGAAUGGAAGACAAGUCUCUUUCCUAAUUAUUUUCUGUAUUCUGCAUCGUUUCUUCCCUACCAUUUUGGGGUUUAGAGAUCAGACCAUAACACAUGUCCAUUUUCCUUACCACCUCACAUCUACUGAACUGGAACUUUGUGCUGUGGAACAAGUUUUUAUUUUUAAAACUUUAGGUUAGCAACAUGAAUGAAAUGCAGGAGUAAUAGUUCAGCUUUGAUGUCGAACCUGGUAAAUAGACAUAUGAAGGGAAGUUGAGAAGAAGUAUGGAGAUCAUGAGGUGGAGUGAAUGACAUGGUAGGAAGAACCACUGGCAGAAAUUAGCAGUAGGAAGAGAGGUGGUCUGUGGUCCAGAGGAACGUUGUUUUGUUUGGGUGUAUAUACCAAUGGAACCAAUCUACUAAUGAUGUCAUAGCCACAGCACUACUCAUGAUCUUCAUUUACCUGGAGAAGAGGUAUGCACAUGUUAGAAUUCUGUUCCUGGACUACAGUUCAGCAUUCAACACGACAACUUCCUCCAGACGUGACAGGAAGCUUAGAGACUUCAACCUGCACCCCACCUUGUGCAGCUGGGUCCUAGACUUCCUAUCAGAUCACCAACAGGUGGUAAGGAUGGGCUCCCUCACCUCUGCCCCUCUGACCCUCAACACAGGUGCCCCCUAGGGUUGUGUUCUUAGUCCCCUUCUCUACUCCCUUUGCACCCACAACCAUAAUGCCACACACAGGUCCAAUCUGCUGAUCAAAUUCACAGAUGACAUGUCUUUGAUUGGCAUUAUUUCCAGUAAUAAUGAGACAGCCUACAGAGGAGAGGUUGACACACUGACACAGUGGUGCCAGGAUAACAACCUCUCCCUCGAUGCCCAAAAAGCAAAAGAGGUGAUUGUGGAUUACAGGAGGAAAGGAGACUCUCAGCCCAAUCAACGUCAAUGGGUCUGCAGUGGAGAGGGUGAGUAGUUUAAAGUUCCUUAGUAUACAUAUCACUGAUGAUUUCACCUAGACUGUACACACCAACUUUGUGGCACAAAAUGCACAAUAGCAUCUCUUCCAUGUCAGGUGGCUGAAAAAGUUUGGCAUGGGCCCCCAAAUCCUCAAGACCUUCUACAGGGGCACCAUUGAGAGCAUACUGACUGGCUAUAUCACCGCCUAGUACAGGAACUGCACCAAUGUUGAUCGCUGGGCACUGCAGAGAGUGGUACAGACAGCCCAGUGCAUCUGUGGAUGUGAGCUUCCUGCCAAGAGGACAUUUAUAGCAGCAGGUGCAGAAAGAAGACCUGGAAGAUCAUCGGGGACACCAGUUACCUCGACUAUAAACUGUUCCAGCUGCUUCCGUCCUGCAAAUGGUACCACAGUAUUAAGCCAGGACCAUUAGGCUACAGGGCAGCUUCUUUCUACAAGCCAUUAGACUUUUAAAUUCACAUGUCUGUAUAUUGCAACGGAGUCAUAACACAAAGAUUUUUACUCCCUCGUGUUGUGGGAUGGAUGUAAGAUCUAAAUAAAUUCUAUUCUAAUUCAAUUCUAUUCCGCCGUAUGUAAAGUCAGAUGACAAUAAAGAGAAUUUCUGCAGAUGCUGGAAAUUUAAAGCAACACACACAAAAUGCUGGAGGAGCUCAGCAGAUCAGGCAGCAUCUAUGGAAAUGAAUGAACAUCUUAGCUCGACGUUUCAAGCUAAGACCAGUGCUAGAAUCUUGGCUUGAAAUGUCAACUGUUUAUUCAUUUCCAUGAAUGCUAUCUG